AGAGUUUGAUCCUGGCUCAGAUUGAACGCUGGCGGCAUGCUUUACACAUGCAAGUCGAACGGCAGCACGAGUGCUUGCACUUGGUGGCGAGUGGCGAACGGGUGAGUAAUACAUCGGAACGUGUCCUAAAGAGGGGGAUAACGCAUCGAAAGAUGUGCUAAUACCGCAUAAUCUCUUUGGAGAAAAGUAGGGGAUCGAAAGACCUUGCGCUUUUGGAGCGGCCGAUGUCUGAUUAGCUAGUUGGUGAGGUAAAUGCUUACCAAGGCAACGAUCAGUAGUUGGUCUGAGAGGAUGACCAACCACACUGGGACUGAGACACGGCCCAGACUCCUACGGGAGGCAGCAGUGGGGAAUUUUGGACAAUGGGGGAAACCCUGAUCCAGCAAUGCCGCGUGAGUGAAGAAGGCCUUCGGGUUGUAAAGCUCUUUCAGUUGAGAAGAAAAGAUUGUGACUAAUAAUCAUAAUUAAUGACGGUAUCAACAGAAGAAGCACCGGCUAACUACGUGCCAGCAGCCGCGGUAAUACGUAGGGUGCGAGCGUUAAUCGGAAUUACUGGGCGUAAAGGGUGCGCAGGCGGUUAUGUAAGUCAGAUGUGAAAUCCCCGGGC
Molecule: ribosomal RNA, 607 nt
Filed under: uncultured bacterium
Lineage: Bacteria
Description: bacterial SSU rRNA
Rfam family: Bacterial small subunit ribosomal RNA
Source: RNAcentral